Molecule: long non-coding RNA, 812 nt
Filed under: Gallus gallus (chicken)
Lineage: Eukaryota; Metazoa; Chordata; Aves; Galliformes; Phasianidae
Source: RNAcentral
GCGGUCCCCACGGGAAAGCUGCCUUUCUAACUCACGGACACGAGCCUUUAGUGCUUCAAAUGUUGUCACUGCAGAGUCUUCUGUAAUUUUUUCAAUGUCACUGUUCUUACAGGUCUUCUGCAUGGUUUCCUGUUUACUGCUUUCGCCAUUACUCGUUGAGGGCAUUUCGUCGCUGGCCCAUUUAGAAAACUCCGGCGUUAUUCGAGUACUGGGUGUGCCACCAUUUAAAACAGCACCUCGGAGCGCCUCCCUCUCUUUGGCUUCACCUGGCUCUUCUCCAGUGCAAGGGAUAACGUCUGCCUCUGUGUACUGUGGUUUCCCGUAUUCAAGUGUGUCGUCCCCAUCCACAUCCAGGUCGGCAUCGCUGUCUGGAUUCUCUUUGCCGCUGCACAUGAUGAACCCAGAACCUCGAAAUCCUCCCUCCAGGAGAGUAGUGGCCCGUAUCCUCUUCUGCCCACACCACUCGUAUUCUUCAAAGCGGUUGCCAUUCUCAUUCUCGAUGUCCACAGAGUCAUCCUCAGUCAUGCAUGAGCCUUCUCUCUGCCCUUCAUCUUGCUUCCUCCGUUUCAUUUUUCCAAUCCGAGCGUUCAGCCGGGUCUGCCGGUUCGCUCGCACCCGCAGGAAGGUCUCUUCCCGGCCCCCGCCGCCGGGCCCCCUCCUGCCGCUCUGCAUAGCCGCGGGCGGCCGGCGGGGCGACGAGGCGGCGGCCCCGAGGCGGCUUCCCCCGCGCGGCCCGGGAUGCGGGCGGAUACGGCGCGGCCCGGCAGGCGCCACCGAUCAGCCCCCAGCGGCCGCCGCCAUGUUGGCCCCGG